Molecule: long non-coding RNA, 1489 nt
Organism: Nomia melanderi (Alkali bee)
Lineage: Eukaryota; Metazoa; Arthropoda; Insecta; Hymenoptera; Halictidae
Source: RefSeq, a predicted model, not a curated record
GGGAAGAACGGAGAAACUACUAGAUCCGGGUAGUCGCUUCCUGUAAUCUCGUUGCUUAGAAUUACGUACGUGAACAUUCGCGAUGGAUCUCGUUUUUGGGAUUUUUAGAAAAUAUUUCGACGAGUGUAUUUACCGAAUUGAAUGUUAUUCGUUCGUCAGGCGAAAAGUGUGAAAAGUAGUGCAGGUCAACGUUUCGAAUUGCAAACUUAACCUGUACGACCGACGGAACCAGGAAAAACGGAACUUUCAGGAUUUACUCAUUGUAUCAUCAGCAUAAUUGAGUAACGCAAAAUGAGAAUAUCAAUGGCUUAGUUGAAAAGUAUGCCAAUAGAAUUCUUAUGAUUACACGGUUUUCUGAAUGUAACUUCAAUCGAUUAUUUCGAUCUAAUGGUUAAAGUCACGCCGAUAGGAUUAUUCAGUUAAUGUCACAGGAAUUUUCCUGGCUCUUGCAGUUUCUGACGACAACAUUCUACAACUCUAGAUUCCGAUCUUGGAAAUAUGCGGUUUUAGGUGUUACGUCACGAAUUAUCGAUACAGAAACAUGCCAGAUAAAAGACAUAGAAUUUACCCAUGGCACUUGUUCACUUCGUUUUCUUGAAUACACGGGGCAUCCCAAAACCAGGGGGAUACACUGUAAUUUCCUUUGCACUGUAUUUAUAUAUUCAUAUACACUUAUUACUCUUGCAGUGGUAUUAUAAUCUGCCCGCUACUACAUACAUAGCUAAAAGUGAAAAGGUAUUUGAAUGACGUCACGGAAUUUCCCUUUCAGGCUGCUGUAGCUGCAACAUUCUACAGGUUCAUCUUAGAUGCCAAUCUCGACUAGUUUAUGCAACUUAAAAUGAUAACAUAUACAGUGAUUUUCAGUAUGUUUUAAUACGACGAUAAUAAAAAAUAUUUGCUACAAAUGGAAAGAAAAAUAUUUACUUAAUCAAAUUUGGAGAGAUUGAAAUUUACUAUUGCAUUAAGAUAUUGUUUUUUACGUGGAAUAUUCCAUUUUUAUGGAAAAUUAGAUGGCCAAUCUGUGUAAUGUACGAAAUAAGAUUGUUGUACUUUCGAGUGGCGCAUAAAAGAAUGAGGAGCACGUAUUACGAAUUAGUUAAAAUUUAAUUUCUUAAUUUUGUAUUCACUUUAUAAUAAUUCAAUCGUUGAACAAUUACAAUAAUUACAAAGCAUGUAUUACAAAAUUUUUAUUGUAUUUUGAAAUGUUUUUCAUCAGUAUUAUUAACACCUGAUCAUAAAUUCUUAAAUACGUUAACCUUGUAAAUCUUGUCUAGUAGUAGCAUUCUUUUUAUGUGACAAACCUUAAUGGAAUUCUAGUAGAAAUGCAUUACAUGUAAAUAAAUUAACUCCGAUAAACGGUGCACACCGUCAAUGGUUUUGUACAUUGAUCAAAUAAUCUCGAGAGGAAUGUCUGUGUACAAUAAUAUCAAAUAAAUAUAUAUAUUUCAACACAUUAUUCACAUUAUGCAACUACUUGUAUCAGAAAUUU